This 170-nucleotide ribosomal RNA is filed under the name Naso vlamingii (bignose unicornfish). RNAcentral describes it as "partial small subunit ribosomal RNA". Lineage: Eukaryota; Metazoa; Chordata; Actinopteri; Acanthuriformes; Acanthuridae. The record is from RNAcentral.
CACCGCGGUUAUACGAGAGACCCAAGUUGUUAGACACCGGCGUAAAGAGUGGUUAGGAAGACUCAUUCAACUAGAGCCGAACACCUUCAAAGCUGUUAUACGCACCCGAAGGUAAGAAGUCCAACUACGAAAGUGGCUUUAUGUUAACUGAACCCACGAAAGCUAGGACA